ACUCGAGUGGCGAACGGGUGAGUAACACGUGGGCAAUCUGCCCUGCACUCUGGGAUAAGCCUGGGAAACUGGGUCUAAUACUGGAUAGGACCUUUCUCCUCAUGGGGUUUGGUGGAAAGUUUUUCGGUGCAGGAUGAGCCCGCGGCCUAUCAGCUUGUUGGUGGGGUAAUGGCCUACCAAGGCGACGACGGGUAGCCGGCCUGAGAGGGUGAUCGGCCACAUUGGGACUGAGAUACGGCCCAGACUCCUACGGGAGGCAGCAGCG
Molecule: ribosomal RNA, 265 nt
Filed under: uncultured Segniliparus sp.
Lineage: Bacteria; Bacillati; Actinomycetota; Actinomycetes; Mycobacteriales; Segniliparaceae
Description: partial 16S ribosomal RNA
Rfam family: Bacterial small subunit ribosomal RNA
Source: RNAcentral